Molecule: long non-coding RNA, 2344 nt
Filed under: Homo sapiens (human)
Lineage: Eukaryota; Metazoa; Chordata; Mammalia; Primates; Hominidae
Description: HSALNT0191169
Source: RNAcentral
UAAAAUUAUACUGUGUUCAGAACAAUGUGGGCUUUUAUGCGUCAUGCUUAAGCUUCAAUCCAAAUAUGCUUCUGGAGUAUAGUUACACCAGAAAAACAAGGAAUGUAAAAAUAACGCCUCAUGAGUCAAUGUGUUUUCUGCCUAAAAUAGUUUUUUUUUUUUUUUUUUGAGAUGGAGUUGCGUUCUGUCGCCCAGGCUGGAGUGCAGGGGCGCGAUCUCGGCUCACUGCACUCCGCCUCCCGGGUUCAAGCGAUUCUCCCACCUCAGCCUCCCGACCAAAACAGAUUCUUAAUAUGGCUGGCCCUGCACAGCCCAGAUCACCUUGGGAAAAUAGCCUGAAAUUGACUUUACAUCAUGCAGAUUCAAGACUAUCUGGCUCUGUAUUAAGUCAUGGACAAAAAAAAAAAAAAAAAAAAAAUGGCCAAUUGAUGGGGCAGAGGGAAAGGGGGAAGGAGGAAGAGAGAGGAAUGAGUGUAAGACUGGCAAUUUAUUUGAAGAAGGAAGAAAAGAAGAUAAAAUGAACACUCUUCAGAAGGUUUUCAAUGACCAGAGUUAAUUUUCUUUAAUUUUCACACACUGAUCAAAUCAAGGGAACUGUAAUCAGUCUCUUUUUCCCCAUUCCCUCCUCUGGCUUGAUCUGAACAUGGAAAAUCAGUCAGCCUUCUUCUUUAUUAUUUUUUAUUUUAUUUUAUUUUAUUUUUUGAGACGGAGUCUCCCUCUGUUGCCCAGGCUGGAGUGCAGUGAUGUGAUCUCAGCUCACUGCAACCUUCGCCUCCCAGAUCCAAGCGAUUCUCUUGCCUCAGCCUCCUGAGUAGCUGACACUACAGGUAUGAGCCACCGUGCCCGGCCAGUCCAUUCUUUUCUAAGCUCUGUGCACCAGGCUGGCAACACUUGUUUAAAAACCCAUUCUAUACUUCUCUGUUUUAACUUUUAACCCUCUCCCUGGGACAUGUGAAGAGGAAAAGUGAGCCCCAACACAUAAGAAUGAAGAGGAGAAGAAUGUGGGCUGCAUUUCCCAUGGGACACUGGAAAUGCUGGCUUCAUGGAGACAAGAUUCUUUUUCAGAAUCCCUACACAAAUUGCUGGAAAGAACUUCCAAGGAGGCAUGGCUAAAAAGAGACACCUGUGUCACAUGAGGAGAGAUGCCAUCUCUAGACUGGACUUUGUCCUUGACUGACACAAGGGCAAGCCUGAGCUCAUAAACGGCUUCUCCAUCUCCAUGAGCUGUCAGCACAAAGGUUGAGAAGGAUUGCAGCAAUGCAAUGGGCACACCAGCAGGCUCUUGAAGGCACUGCCAUACUGCACAGCUUCCACAGGCCUGGAGCCUGAAUCCUCUGAGACACAUCGUCCCUGAAAUUGAAAGAUUGGCACUUCACCCACACCUGAGACGGGAAACAUCAUCUCUUCCUAGGAGGACCUGUGUGACCCCGCCUGCAUGAAAGGUACAUCAAGAGGGAAGAACCAAACUACCAGAGCUUAUCAUUGCUCUUCUGUGAGAGGGAAACUUUUGCAGGGCUGCUCAAAGGCUGGUAAAAAGCCUUGCUUUAAUGCCCAAGGCUUUGAUGGCAUCGCCCUUGUUCCCACCCAGGUUUGCUCACUCGGUCUGCAGUGGCAGGCCCACACUCGGCAUUCCCCGGAGUCCUCCAGUGCCUGCGUGCACUUUCUCUUCUUGGUUGGAGGCAAUGAGGCUCUAAAAUCAAGACACCAAAACGAAGGUUAGGAUUCUUCCUUGUGUUCCAUGUUAUGUUAAAUAAAAUUUAAUCUCCCAGGCUCUCUGCUUUCCUAAGUCUAAUUCCAAUUAGUUAAGGUUCCUUGAGCCCUACUAGGCUGAAACUAUUUCCCUUGAUCAAGUGGAUCUGAGAUUCACCAACCUGAAAGAUAAGCUGACAAUGUUUAUAAUGGCAGAGGACUCAUUGAGACAGGGAAGAUACAGACUUAAAAUAUAGGUAUACAUUUUACACCCGACAACUUUUUUCAUGUGGAGUUUUACCACAAUUUUUGAUAGCCUUUACUCUUUCUGGCACUCUCUAGAUCCAGAAGAGGAAAUAAAAGAAAGAAAAGGGGAGAAGACAGAAGAAAAGAACAUUAGUUAAUGCUUAAUUAGCAGAUAUUUCUCGGAGAGCUCAUUCACAAUCCCUUUGGGUAGUCUAGCUGAGGCUGCAUAAGCUUACGGUGUUUCCUCCAUCAUCCAGAACCUCACUGUAUAUUUCUGACAUUUUAGCUUUUGGUUGAAUGAGGACCUUGGAUUUGGAGGGUUUUUAAUUAAAAGAUUGUCUAAGCCAAGAACACUGGGACCUCGCGAUGUCCUAUACGCGUCUCAACACUGCCAUCUCCUGGACAGGAC